This 362-nucleotide unclassified non-coding RNA is filed under the name uncultured Dehalococcoidia bacterium. RNAcentral describes it as "contains 16S-23S intergenic spacer region". Lineage: Bacteria; Bacillati; Chloroflexota; Dehalococcoidia. The record is from RNAcentral.
UCUCCCCUUUUAGGAGCAGUCUCGCUAGACAGAAUAACUAGCGACGAGGGUUGCGCUCGUUGCGGGACUUAACCCAACACCUCACGGCACGAGCUGACAACAGCCAUGCAACGUCUGUGCAUCUGUCCCGAAGGAAGACCCGCUUUCACGGGCUAUCAGACACAUGUCAAGUCCAGGUAAGGUUCUUCGCUUUGCAUCGAAUUAAACCACACGCUCCGCUGCUUGUGCGGGGACCCGUCAAUUCCUUUGAGUUUUAGCCUUGCGGCCGUACUCCCCAGGCGGGGUACUUAUCGCGUUAGCUUCGGCACGGGAGGGGUCGAUACCCCCCAUACCCAGUACCCAUCGUUUAGGGCGUGGACUAC